RNAcentral lists this ribosomal RNA (306 nucleotides) under uncultured bacterium. Its description in RNAcentral is "partial 16S ribosomal RNA". It matches the Rfam family "Bacterial small subunit ribosomal RNA", at positions 507 to 807 of the family's 1533-position model. The record is from RNAcentral.
GACAGCAGCCGCCGCGGGAAUACGGAGGGUGCAAGCGUUGAUCGGAAUUACUGGGCGUAAAGCGCACGCAGGCGGUCUGUCAAGUCAGAUGUGAAAUCCCCGGGCUUAACCUGGGAACUGCAUUUGAAACUGGCAGGCUAGAGUCUUGUAGAGGGGGGUAGAAUUCCAGGUGUAGCGGUGAAAUGCGUAGAGAUCUGGAGGAAUACCGGUGGCGAAGGCGGCCCCCUGGGCAAAGACUGACGCUCAGGUGCGAAAGCGUGGGGAGCAAACAGGAUUAGAUACCCCUGUAGUCCCUGUCUCUUAUAC